RNAcentral lists this ribosomal RNA (468 nucleotides) under uncultured bacterium. RNAcentral's name for it is "partial 16S ribosomal RNA". It matches the Rfam family "Bacterial small subunit ribosomal RNA", at positions 28 to 507 of the family's 1533-position model. The record is from RNAcentral.
GACGAACGCUGGCGGCGUGCUUAACACAUGCAAGUCGAACGGAAAGGCCCUGCUUUUGUGGGGUGCUCGAGUGGCGAACGGGUGAGUAACACGUGAGUAACCUGCCCUUGACUUUGGGAUAACUUCAGGAAACUGGGGCUAAUACCGGAUAGGAGCUCCUGCUGCAUGGUGGGGGUUAGAAAGUUUCGGCGGUUGGGGAUGGACUCGCGGCUUAUCAGCUUGUUGGUGGGGCAGUGGCUUACCAAGGCUUUGACGGGUAGCCGGCCUGAGAGGGUGACCGGCCACAUUGGGACUGAGAUACGGCCCAGACUCCUACGGGAGGCAGCAGUGGGGAAUAUUGCACAAUGGGCGGAAGCCUGAUGCAGCAACGCCGCGUGCGGGAUGACGGCCUUCGGGUUGUAAACCGCUUUCGCCUGUGACGAAGCGUGAGUGACGGUAAUGGGUAAAGAAGCACCGGCUAACUACGUG